AGUCGCCGCGGGAAUACGGAGGGGGCUAGCGUUGUUCGGAAUUACUGGGCGUAAAGCGCACGUAGGCGGCUUGGUAAGUUAGAGGUGAAAGCCCGGAGCUCAACUCCGGAAUUGCCUUUAAGACUGCCGAGCUAGUAGGUGAGAGAGGUAAGUGGAAUUCCGAGUGUAGAGGUGAAAUUCGUAGAUAUUCGGAAGAACACCAGUGGCGAAGGCGGCUUACUGGCUCAUUCUAGACGCCGAGGUGCGAAAGCGUGGGGAGCAAACAGGAUUAGAUACCCGCGUAGUCCCUGUCUCUUAUACA
This 301-nucleotide ribosomal RNA is filed under the name uncultured bacterium. RNAcentral's name for it is "partial 16S ribosomal RNA". It matches the Rfam family "Bacterial small subunit ribosomal RNA", at positions 510 to 808 of the family's 1533-position model. The record is from RNAcentral.